GAUGAACGCUAGCGGCAGGCCUAACACAUGCAAGUCGAGGGGUAGCAGGAUUAAGCUUGCUUAAUUGCUGACGACCGGCGCACAGGUGCGUAACGCGUAUGCAACCUACCUUAUACUGGGGUAUAGCCCGGAGAAAUUCGGAUUAAUCCCCCAUAGUACUAAUGAAUCGCAUGGUUUAUUAGUUAAAGCAUUGCGGUAUAUGAUGGGCAUGCGUCCUAUUAGCUAGAUGGUGAGGUAACGGCUCACCAUGGCUACGAUAGGUAGGGGGCCUGAGAGGGUGGUCCCCCACACUGGUACUGAGACACGGACCAGACUCCUACGGGAGGCAGCAGUGAGGAAUAUUGGUCAAUGGGCGCAAGCCUGAACCAGCCAUGCCGCGUGCAGGAAGAAUGCCCUAUGGGUUGUAAACUGCUUUUAUUUGGGAAUAAACCUCUUUACGUGUAGAGAGCUGAAGGUACCAAAUGAAUAAGCACCGGCUAACUCCGUGCCAGCAGCCGCCGUAC
Molecule: ribosomal RNA, 503 nt
Filed under: uncultured bacterium
Lineage: Bacteria
Description: partial 16S ribosomal RNA
Rfam family: Bacterial small subunit ribosomal RNA
Source: RNAcentral